CAUCACCUGCAGAUGAGGCUUGCAAAUGUGAAAGCUGGAAGAAAGGGAAACCUUAAUGUUGCCAUUGAGAUAUUUCAAGUGGCACCUUCUCUUCACAUGGUUGAGGUACGGAAGGCAAAAGGAGACACAUUGGAGUUCCAUAAGUUCUACAAGAAGCUUUCAACAAGCCUGGAUAAUGUUGUUUGGAAAACAAAAGAUGAUGUGCAAAUGAGAAAAACAAUUGAUAUUUAUUAUUAUUAUUAUUAUUAUUAUUAUUAUUAUUAUUAUUAUUAUUAUUAUUAUUAUCAAGUGUAAUUUUCUUCAUUUCUGAAGUUCUACUAUUUUCCAAUUUCUUCAUUCUUAUUUCCUCUAAGGUUCCUUCCUGUAGGUUUGUUUGGAAAUUCCAUAGUACU
Non-coding RNA from Vigna umbellata (rice bean), 392 nucleotides. The record is from RefSeq and is a predicted model, not a curated record. NCBI's taxonomy places the organism in Eukaryota, Viridiplantae, Streptophyta, Magnoliopsida, Fabales, Fabaceae.